RNAcentral lists this long non-coding RNA (852 nucleotides) under Manacus vitellinus (golden-collared manakin). Its description in RNAcentral is "lncRNA (ENSMVIG00005007452.1)". Lineage: Eukaryota; Metazoa; Chordata; Aves; Passeriformes; Pipridae. The record is from RNAcentral.
GUUAAAAAUAUGAGAGAUCAGUUAAAUUAAGAUAUUUCUGUCAUUUUUUUUUCUCCUUUCAAGGUGUAAGUAUUUCACUGUACAGCAUUAUUUGAAGAGUAACAUGUUUCAUCUCAAGGAUCAUGAAUGGCUUGCAGUAUAAUUUUACAAUGUGGCUCGUUAAAUUAAUUUACUAAAUACAAUGAUCUAACUGAAGAGACCUCAGUGCAUUUCAAUAGGCAUAGGCUUAGGCAGAAAGACUUCUCAACCCUGGGCUCAGAUCUGUAAUAAUUUCCUGACAAAGAAAUCACAGAAAUAUUUUAUAGGAAGUGCCAUCAAGAAGUCAUCUAGUUCACUUCCUUACUAUCCGAGAUUUUUCCCGGAGCUCCUAUUUCCCCAGAGUCAGCUGGAUGUUCACAGCAUUUUGAGGUGAAGGCUUGGCUGGAGAGUUCGAACAGUACAUGGGAAACAACUGUGGUGCAAGCUGUGUGUAAUGAGGGAUGGGCACAGCUGCAGCCAGGCUGGGAGCAGCUGCUUCCACAGGCUCGCAGAAUCCUUUGGGUCCAGCAUAGCAAGGUAAGCACAAGUGCAAAGACACCUCCCUCCAGCACACUCUGCAAGUUUACAGAUGUGUGAUCUGAUGAAUGUGGCAUUUAAACUUGGCUUUCAGUGAAGAAACAUGAUUUGUAGUGUCUUCUGUUUGCACCUUUGUUUUGCCCAAAAACAACGUAGGGUUUACUGCCAAAGCAGAAAACAGAGCAAAUGUGUCUUACAGUGCUGCCAGAAACUGGAUUCUUAAGAGGACUUUCACAAUUACAAUUAUAUCUUUUAGUACAAAUGAGAGAGUGGAAAAAAGGGUAACAAAUCAGGGUG